GCCGUCUCUCUGUCUCUCUGUCGCGGCGCAGAGCUUAGCUGAUUGGUGAACAGUGAUUGCUGGACUCUUUGUUCACAGUGGCUAAGUUCUGCGCCCGCAGAGAAGGGGACGGACGGC
This is a non-coding RNA of Ornithorhynchus anatinus (platypus), 117 nucleotides long. RefSeq annotates it as microRNA mir-27b. The transcript has a single exon. The record is from RefSeq and is marked provisional. Lineage: Eukaryota; Metazoa; Chordata; Mammalia; Monotremata; Ornithorhynchidae.